RNAcentral lists this long non-coding RNA (221 nucleotides) under Zostera marina. RNAcentral describes it as "long non-coding RNA (ZMAR_LNC000529)". Lineage: Eukaryota; Viridiplantae; Streptophyta; Magnoliopsida; Alismatales; Zosteraceae. The record is from RNAcentral.
AGUGGUGAACCUGACGUGAAUCGAACACGAACACGAAAAGAUGGAUGCAGAGCAACCGGAGCGGGAAAUUCAAGUAGAGGGAAGUCUGGAAAACGGGGCGGUAGAAACAUAUGGGAAUCGACUGUCAACAGUUACUCGUGAAAGCCAAGGCGUGGGUGAACAGGUGCGUUUAGAAGAAAAUAUCGAAGAAGCACCUUAUCACCCCCAGCAGCGUACGCGCG